RNAcentral lists this long non-coding RNA (1101 nucleotides) under Mytilus galloprovincialis (Mediterranean mussel). The record is from RNAcentral. Lineage: Eukaryota; Metazoa; Mollusca; Bivalvia; Mytilida; Mytilidae.
UGGAAUAAGGAAUGGACAAUAAUGUGGAAAUAAGGAAUAAGGAAUGGACUAUAAGGUUUAAUUAUAUAUACUAGGGACUUGCCAAUUAUGUUUCUCGGCAGUCCCAUUCUUUGUCAAGCCGUGGCCGUACAAUUUUGUACUUUUGCCAAAUAAAAUAUUUCUUACUUUAUAUAUUUGUAUGUCAUUUGGCCCCACGUUGUCUCAGAUAAUAAGAUUUAUUCCUAUGAAGAAUAAAUCCGGUUAUCGGAGGAAAGUGGGCUUACGUUUUGGGAGUUGUCCCGCUUUGAACACGUGGUGGAACUUGUUAUGUAUUAUGAGUCACGUUAAUUAUUUUAACCUUGAUAACUGUGACGUCAUCAUUCUUUCUUUACCACGUACGAUACAGCAGAGGGAAGACGCAAAAAAUUGGGUUCCGUAUGAAUUAACUAAUGUUUGUUUCAAAAGUUACCCACCCACCCACCACUUAGAUAAAAGACAUACUCCUAAAAUGUAGUUAAUAUACAUGUGUUAAAUGUUAUAUUAUGUUAUAUCAUGUUGUUCGUUUUUCUGCUGUUUUUGUUCUAUUUUUCAGGUUGAAAUGACUGGUAGCUUAUUCCGAUUGUAAUCCCAAUCCUUCGUCACGGCUUCAGACAAAGACUCCGACCAUUUAAUGGCGAAAAUAGCGACACAACAUCUACAAAUAUAUUAUGCUUCUUAUAAUGGAAUUAUGUAUCCGCUGAGCUUCUGUUUCCCAGGGCCAGCAUCCGAUAUAUUUUGGAAGCAAUAAUGUUAAUAAGGAUAUUAUAUUGAUAUAUAAGGAAAUGACAUUAUAAGGAAUAACAAUAAGGUGGAAAUAAGGAAUAAGAAUAAUGUGGAAAUAAGGAAUAAGGAAUGGACAAUAAUGUGGAAAUAAGGAAUAAGGAAUGGACAAUAAUGUGGAAAUAAGGAAUAAGGAAUGGACUAUAAGGUUUAAUUAUAUAUACUAGGGACUUGCCAAUUAUGUUUCUCGGCAGUCCCAUUCUUUGUCAAGCCGUGGCCGUACAAUUUUGUACUUUUGCCAAAUAAAAUAUUUCUUACUUUAUAUAUUUGUAUGUCAUUUGGCCCCACGUUGUCUCAGAUAAU